UACGGAGGGUGCAAGCGUUGUCCGGAAUCAUUGGGCGUAAAGCGCACGUAGGCGGUCGCGUAAGUCUCGCGGUGAAAUGCCGGGGCUCAACCCCGUGCCUGCCGGGGAUACUGCGCGACUGGAGACAGGCAGAGGCCAGCGGAAUUCCGGGUGUAGCGGUGGAAUGCGUAGAGAUCCGGAAGAACACCGGAGGCGAAGGCGGCUGGCUGGGCCUGAUCUGACGCUGAGGUGCGAAAGCGUGGGGAGCGAACAGG
Molecule: ribosomal RNA, 254 nt
Filed under: uncultured prokaryote
Description: partial 16S ribosomal RNA
Rfam family: Bacterial small subunit ribosomal RNA
Source: RNAcentral